GAUGAAUAGUAAAUGAAUUUUUUCAAUUCACUUAAGUUUUCAUUUGAUUGUUGGAUUUUUUCAGUUUAUUUUAUUUUUUUCAUCUGUUGGAAACAUUGUUUCAGUUUAUGUGUAUUUAGUUGUUUUUUUAUGUUUUGAAUGAAGAUGAUGAAAAAGAAGGAGAGGAGGAUGAGAAGAAGAUGAAUGCUGAUGAUGAUCAGCAUAAAGAAGAUGAUGAUGAUGAUGAUGAUGAUGAUGGUGAUGAUAAGGAUCACCAUAAUUAUAAUGAGACAAAGGAUGAUGAUGCUGAUGAUAAUGGUGAUCCUGGUCUUCAAGGAGAUGAAGACAAAGGAGGAGAUAAGGAUGCUGGUCUUCAUGGAGAUGAAGACAAAGGAGGAGAUAAUGGUGAUCCUGGUCUUCAAGGAGAUGAAGACAAAGUAGGAGAUAAGGAUGCUGGUCUUCAUGGAGAUGGAGAGGAAGGUGGAAAUAAUGAGAAAGAACCGAAGGAAGAUGAUAAUAAGAAGACUGGCAAUGCUGAUGAUGAUUGUGGUCUUCAAGGAGAUAAAGAGGAAGGAGGAAAUAAAGAGUUGGAUGCUGGGGUUCAUGCAGAAGGAGAGAAAGGAGGAAAUGUUGAGAAAGAACAACCAAAGGAAGCUGAUAGGAAGAGGAGGAAUGCUGAUGAUGAUCAAGUCAAAGGGGCUAAGGAUAAGGAUAAGUGUAAAAUUUCUACACACGUCCCUACUCGCACCGCUGCUGGUAUUGAUAUUGUUGAUCUUCGUACUCCAACUCCUCCUCCUCCUCCUCCGUUGUUGAAGCUGUUGAGAAUGUAUAUAGCAGAAAGUCUUGGAGAGUUGAUUCUUCUGCUAAAAGGAAAAACAUUGCUGAUUUCGAUGGCCCUUCAUUCCAACUAUUAACUCCUAGUCCUGUUGUUGAGGAUCUUGCAGAUAGUGCAGAGAGUGGUGAGGGUGUUGGAAGUUCAAUUCCAAUCAUCACUCCAGUAAAUGUAAAAUAUCCUCGAGGUGAUGGCUCUUAUUCUGAUCAAUCAUCAUACAAAUCCUACAAACCUCAGAAACAAUCAAAGUCAGAAAUCCCUUCAACACCUGAAUUAUUGAAGGGGUGGGACUAUGACCCUUCUUCAGAGAAAGUUGGGAAAGUUGUGAGAGUUAAGGAACCAGGUGAUGAUUAUGACGAUGAAGGUUUGGAGGACCUGAUUGAUAGGAUUGCUGAUCAUGGAGUUGAAUCAUCAUCUGACAAGGCUAAA
Molecule: RNA transcript, 1240 nt
Organism: Beta vulgaris subsp. vulgaris (sugar beet)
Lineage: Eukaryota; Viridiplantae; Streptophyta; Magnoliopsida; Caryophyllales; Amaranthaceae
Exons: 4
Source: RefSeq, a predicted model, not a curated record